UAGUCCACGCCGUAAACGUUGUAUACUAGGUGUUGGGAGUAUCAACCCUCUCAGUGCCGCAGCUAACGCAUUAAGUAUACCGCCUGGGGAGUAUGUACGCAAGUAUGAAACUCAAAGGAAUUGACGGGGGCCCGCACAAGCGGUGGAGCAUGUGGUUUAAUUCGAUGAUACGCGAGGAACCUUACCAGGGCUUAAAUGUAAGUUGCAUGAUUUAGAGAUAGAUCUUUCUUCGGACUACUUACAAGGUGCUGCAUGGUUGUCGUCAGCUCGUGCCGUGAGGUGUCAGGUUAAGUCCUAUAACGAGCGCAACCCCUACCGUUAGUUGCCAGCAUGUUAUGAUGGGGACUCUAGCGGGACUGCCGGUGCAAACCGAGAGGAAGGUGGGGAUGACGUCAAAUCAUCACGGCCCUUACGUCCUGGGGCUACACACGUGCUACAAUGGUAACGACAGAGGGGCAGCCACCCCGCGAGGGGGAGCGAAUCCUUAAACGGUUAUCUCAGUUCGGGAUCGGGAGUCU
This 518-nucleotide ribosomal RNA is filed under the name uncultured bacterium. RNAcentral describes it as "bacterial SSU rRNA". It matches the Rfam family "Bacterial small subunit ribosomal RNA", at positions 791 to 1306 of the family's 1533-position model. The record is from RNAcentral.